RNAcentral lists this ribosomal RNA (438 nucleotides) under Dilobopterus sp. U4. Its description in RNAcentral is "partial large subunit ribosomal RNA". The record is from RNAcentral. Lineage: Eukaryota; Metazoa; Arthropoda; Insecta; Hemiptera; Cicadellidae.
UCCUGCCCUAUGAUUAAUUAAAUGGCUGCAGUAUUCUGACUGUGCAAAGGUAGCAUAAUAAUUAGUCUUUUAAUUGGAGGCUUGUAUGAAUGGUUAUAUGAGAGAUUAAUUUUAUUUUUAUUAUUUUUUGAAUUUGAUAUUUAAGUAAAAAAGCUUAAUUAUUUUUUUGGGACGAUAAGACCCUAUAGAACUUUAAUUCUUUUUUUAUGUAAUUUAUUUUAGUUUAUUAAUUAAUUUAUUGAAAGAAUAAUUUUAGUUGGGGAGGUUGAUAAAUUUUAACUUUAUCUAUUUAUUUCAUUGAUUUAUGUUUUUUUGAUCCAGUUUAUUGAUUAAAAGAUUAAGUUACCUUAGGGAUAACAGCGUUAUUUAAAUGGGGAGUUCAUAUCUAUAUUUAAGUUUGCGACCUCGAUGUUGAAUUAAGAUAAGGUUAAGGGGUAG